Molecule: non-coding RNA, 120 nt
Organism: Ensifer adhaerens OV14
Lineage: Bacteria; Pseudomonadati; Pseudomonadota; Alphaproteobacteria; Hyphomicrobiales; Rhizobiaceae
Source: Rfam
ACUUAUCGAAGCGCUGCACCUCCUCCCGCGGCGCCCGAUGCGGAUCGGUGGCACUCCUCCUCCCAGUCACCGGUCAAGUUUGAGAGCCCCGUGCACCUCCUCCCGCGCGGGGCUCUUUUC